UACAGAGGUCUCAAGCGUUGUUCGGAUUCACUGGGCGUAAAGGGUGCGUAGGCGGCGCGGUAAGUCGGGUGUGAAAUUUCGGAGCUUAACUCCGAAACUGCAUUCGAUACUGGCGUGCUUGAGGACUGGAGAGGAGACUGGAAUUCAUGGUGUAGCGGUGAAAUGCGUAGAGAUCAUGAGGAAGACCAGUGGCGAAGGCGGGUCUCUGGACAGUUCCUGACGCUGAGGCGCGAAGGCCAGGGGAGCAAACGGG
Molecule: ribosomal RNA, 253 nt
Filed under: uncultured bacterium
Lineage: Bacteria
Description: partial 16S ribosomal RNA
Rfam family: Bacterial small subunit ribosomal RNA
Source: RNAcentral